RNAcentral lists this long non-coding RNA (899 nucleotides) under Jatropha curcas. RNAcentral describes it as "long non-coding RNA (JCUR_LNC000682)". Lineage: Eukaryota; Viridiplantae; Streptophyta; Magnoliopsida; Malpighiales; Euphorbiaceae. The record is from RNAcentral.
GUAUUCAUAAGGCGGUGGUGGAGAUGGAGAUGGUGGGGGGGGGGACUUGUAUUCAUAAUGAGGCUUGGGAGAUGGAGGCGGUGGGGACUUGUAUUCAUAAGGUGGUGGUGGAGAUGGAGAAGGUGGUGGGGGAGACUUGUACUCAUAAUGAGGCUUGGGAGAUGGAGGCGGUGGGGACUUGUAUUCAUAAGGUGGUGGGGGAGAUGGAGAAGGUGGUGGGGGCGACUUGUACUCAUAAUGAGGUUUAGGAGAUGGAGGUGGUGGUGACUUAUAUUCAUAAGGUGGGGGUGGGGAUGGAGAAGGUGGGGGGGGAGACUUGUACUCAUAAUGAGGUUUAGGAGAUGGAGGUGGUGGUGACUUAUACUCAUAAGGUGGUGGAGGAGAAGGAGAUGGUGGUGGUGGUGACUUAUAUUCAUAAGGUGGUGGUGGGGAUGGAGAAGGUGGUGGGGGAGACUUGUACUCAUAAUGAGGUUUAGGAGAUGGAGGUGGUGGUGACUUAUACUCAUAAGGUGGGGGAGGAGAAGGAGAUGGUGGUGGUGGUGACUUAUAUUCAUAAGGUGGUGGUGGGGAUGGAGAUGGAGGUGGAGGAGACUUGUACUCGUAAUGAGGUUUAGGAGAUGGUGGUGGGGGUGACUUGUACUCAUAAGGAGGUGGUGGAGAAGGAGAAGGUGGAGGUGGUGACUUAUAUUCAUAAUGAGGUUUAGGUGAUGGUGGAGGUGGUGAUUUAUACUCAUAAGGAGGUGGUGGAGAAGGAGAAGGUGGAGGUGGAGAAUAGUAAGGAUAAGCAUCUCCUGAUACUGAACUUACACUACUUGAAACAAAAACUACAGCCAACGCUAUGGCCAAGUGAGGCCAAAGACGACCCCACCCGGGGCCGCCGCCGGAACUUCUCAUUUCUU